This 472-nucleotide ribosomal RNA is filed under the name uncultured bacterium. RNAcentral describes it as "bacterial SSU rRNA". It matches the Rfam family "Bacterial small subunit ribosomal RNA", at positions 331 to 794 of the family's 1533-position model. The record is from RNAcentral.
CCAGACUCCUACGGGAGGCAGCAGUGGGGAAUCUUCCGCAAUGGGCGCAAGCCUGACGGAGCAACGCCGCGUGAAUGAAGAAGGUCUUCGGAUCGUAAAGUUCUGUUCUUAGGGAAGAAGUCUUAGGUUGUGAAUAAUGACUUAAGGUGACGGUACCUAUGGAGAAAGCUCCGGCUAACUACGUGCCAGCAGCCGCGGUAAUACGUAGGGAGCAAGCGUUAUCCGGAUUUACUGGGUGUAAAGGGCGCGUAGGCGGGAUGGCAAGUCAGAUGUGAAAUCCAAGGGCUCAACCCUUGAACUGCAUUUGAAACUGUCGUUCUUGAGUACUGGAGAGGUUGACGGAAUUCCUAGUGUAGCGGUGAAAUGCGUAGAUAUUAGGAGGAACACCAGUGGCGAAGGCGGUCAACUGGACAGCAACUGACGCUGAGGCGCGAAAGCGUGGGGAGCAAACAGGAUUAGAUACCCGAGUAGA